Molecule: unclassified non-coding RNA, 300 nt
Filed under: uncultured Fusarium
Lineage: Eukaryota; Fungi; Ascomycota; Sordariomycetes; Hypocreales; Nectriaceae
Description: sequence contains 5.8S rRNA gene, ITS2
Rfam family: 5.8S ribosomal RNA (bases 1-71)
Source: RNAcentral
GUGAGUCAUCGAAUCUUUGAACGCACAUUGCGCCCGCCAGUAUUCUGGCGGGCAUGCCUGUUCGAGCGUCAUUUCAACCCUCAAGCCCCCGGGCUUGGUGUUGGGGAUCGGCAAAACGGCCUCGCCAGAGGACGCGCCGGCCCCUAAAUCUAGUGGCGGUCUCGCUGCAGCCUCCGUUGCGUAGUAGCUAACACCUCGCAACUGGAACGCGGCGCGGCCAAGCCGUUAAACCCCCCAACUUCUGAAUGUUGACCUCGGAUCAGGUAGGAAUACCCGCUGAACUUAAGCAUAUCAAUAAGC